RNAcentral lists this long non-coding RNA (1866 nucleotides) under Homo sapiens (human). Its description in RNAcentral is "HSALNT0380463". The record is from RNAcentral. Lineage: Eukaryota; Metazoa; Chordata; Mammalia; Primates; Hominidae.
AGGAGAAACAAGACAGAAGGUGGUACCAGAGAAGGAGUCAGCUCCCCAGGGCCUGGAAUCUGCAGUGUUGCCACCACUAGGGAAGAACAGCAAACCUGGGAGAAAGUGACUCUAUAACCAGUGGAAGAAAGGCUGUGUAGCCAUCACCGGAUCUCUGGGGGAAGAGAGAAGACACAGAGACACAGACCUGCCCCGGAGGAAUCCAGAGCCCACCUGCCCAGAGAGGCUCCACCUGAUUUCCCUGGCUCUGGGCACCCCCUUAAAAGCCCUUUAUGCCAUCUUUCCUUUCAGUCGAGUGAUGCAGGAUUUGGGACCAGACAGCCUUUGCUCAAAUCCUUCCACAGUUAUCUACCAGCUUGGUGGCCUUGGAGAAGUUAUUUCCCUGUUCUGGAUGUGCUUCCUCUUCUAUAAACUAGAGACACUACAAAUUCCCACCACAGAGGGGUAAAUGCAGCAUCCUGUACGUUAUGUGUUUGGCACAGGACCUGGGAUGCAGGAGGCACUCUGACCGGUGGCAUCCAGAAAGUAAGGAAUAUGGACUAAAGGGAGGGCCAAGGAAAAGUUUACAGGCUGUGGCUGUGCAGUUGGAAGAUGCAGAAGCGCCUCGCUUGGUGCUGCCAGGUUAGGUUUGCAGAAUGCAGUGAAUGCUCUUGCUGACAAAGGAUGGGGAUAAGUGAACUGGGGAAUCAUGACCUAGGGGAAGCCACUAGCUCAAAUACUGAUCCCUAUUUAAGUCACCAAAAUAUGCUGGGCACCCAGUGGGUGCCCAGCGCUUUCCCAUAAGUGAUCCCAAACCAGGAGCUAGUCCAAGCCUCCAAAAGUGGCUGGGUAGUUCAUUGGAAUGAGGGCUGCAGUGACUCCAGAGGGAGCAGGACUCCAGAGGAGCAGGACUCAAGAGAAGGGGAGCCAGGGAAGACUGAGGGGAUGUGUAGGUGAGGUGGCUCUUUUCUGGCUGAGAGAAGAGAAGGUCCCCAGCCCACACCAAGGGCUCCAUAAUGGAAGGGAGGCCUAGGGUGGGUCCUCCCCCUCCCCAUCUUCAUCCCACUCAGCCCCUACCUGGCCUUUAACACACUGGGUGGGAGAAGUGUUGCUGAGCACAGCAGUGACCUGAGGCCCUGGGCACCCAUCCCAGUUUAGCUCCACAGGGGACUCCAGUUGCUGAGGAAGAAUAUAGAACUUAUAUAGGAUGGGGGAGCUGGAAGGAAACUUAGGAUCAAUUGUUCCAGCCUCUAAUUGAAUGGUGGGGAAACCCAGAGACAGAGAAAGGAAAUUACUACCCCUUCCAAGCCAGUGAGAGAGCCAGAUCUAGAAUCCAGGGCUCUUUCCAUGAUAUUGCACCUCCCAUCUCAGUCCUGUCUUUAUGAAAUGCCAUAUUGAAGCUUUAUGUAUUGGGGAAAUUUAACUGAGGCUCAAACGGACACAAAUUCCCUAAAGCCACAUGGUGAGUCAGACAGCGAAAUGCAAGGUGUCUGGUCCUUUCCCAGCAUCCAACGAACGUUUCUUGGGCACCUACUACAGUCAGGCUGGGAGCACUUUCAGACGUUCUCUCACUUAAAUCUCACAUGUAGGAGCAAGUUGCUGGAAGAGCGAAGGGCCAGAGGCCAGGGUCCAAAUCCUGGCUCUCUUAGCUGAGUCUCCUUGGACAAAUCCCUUGAUGUCCCUCAAAUGAUGCCUCCAUUUCUUCACUUUAUAAGAAGUGGAUUCAUAAUAGUACCUACCUUGUAGAGUAUUAUGAUAAUUAAAGGAGACUAUCCAUAUGAAAUACUUAGAACAGAGCCUAGUAAUAUAAAUAUACCAUUUAAAAAUAAGUAUACUGGCUGAGUGUGGUGGGUCACACCUGUAAUUCCAGCACUUUGGGAGGCCCAG